AUAAUGGGUCAGCGACUUAUAUUCUGUAGCAAGGUUAACCGAAUAGGGGAGCCGAAGGGAAACCGAGUCUUAACUGGGCGUUAAGUUGCAGGGUAUAGACCCGAAACCCGGUGAUCUAGCCAUGGGCAGGUUGAAGGUUGGGUAACACUAACUGGAGGACCGAACCGACUAAUGUUGAAAAAUUAGCGGAUGACUUGUGGCUGGGGGUGAAAGGCCAAUCAAACCGGGAGAUAGCUGGUUCUCCCCGAAAGCUAUUUAGGUAGCGCCUCGUGAAUUCAUCUCCGGGGGUAGAGCACUGUUUCGGCAAGGGGGUCAUCCCGACUUACCAACCCGAUGCAAACUGCGAAUACCGGAGAAUGUUAUCACGGGAGACACACGGCGGGUGCUAACGUCCGUCGUGAAGAGGGAAACAACCCAGACCGCCAGCUAAGGUCCCAAAGUCAUGGUUAAGUGGGAAACGAUGUGGGAAGGCCCAGACAGCCAGGAUGUUGGCUUAGAAGCAGCCAUCAUUUAAAGAAAGCGUAAUAGCUCACUGGUCGAGUCGGCCUGCGCGGAAGAUGUAACGGGGCUAAACCAUGCACCGAAGCUGCGGCAGCGACGCUUAUGCGUUGUUGGGUAGGGGAGCGUUCUGUAAGCCUUUGAAGGUGUACUGUGAGGUAUGCUGGAGGUAUCAGAAGUGCGAAUGCUGACAUAAGUAACGAUAAAGCGGGUGAAAAGCCCGCUCGCCGGAAGACCAAGGGUUCCUGUCCAACGUUAAUCGGGGCAGGGUGAGUCGACCCCUAAGGCGAGGCCGAAAGGCGUAGUCGAUGGGAAACAGGUUAAUAUUCCUGUACUUGGUGUUACUGCGAAGGGGGGACGGAGAAGGCUAUGUUGGCCGGGCGACGGUUGUCCCGGUUUAAGCGUGUAGGCUGGUUUUCCAGGCAAAUCCGGAAAAUCAAGGCUGAGGCGUGAUGACGAGGCACUACGGUGCUGAAGCAACAAAUGCCCUGCUUCCAGGAAAAGCCUCUAAGCAUCAGGUAACAUCAAAUCGUACCCCAAACCGACACAGGUGGUCAGGUAGAGAAUACCAAGGCGCUUGAGAGAACUCGGGUGAAGGAACUAGGCAAAAUGGUGCCGUAACUUCGGGAGAAGG
RNAcentral lists this ribosomal RNA (1132 nucleotides) under Escherichia coli. RNAcentral's name for it is "partial 23S ribosomal RNA". It matches the Rfam family "Bacterial large subunit ribosomal RNA", at positions 612 to 1746 of the family's 2925-position model. Lineage: Bacteria; Pseudomonadati; Pseudomonadota; Gammaproteobacteria; Enterobacterales; Enterobacteriaceae. The record is from RNAcentral.